Molecule: ribosomal RNA, 503 nt
Filed under: uncultured bacterium
Lineage: Bacteria
Description: partial 16S ribosomal RNA
Rfam family: Bacterial small subunit ribosomal RNA
Source: RNAcentral
AUUGAACGCUGGCGGCAGGCUUAACACAUGCAAGUCGAGCGGGGUGAUGGUGCUUGCACUAUCACUUAGCGGCGGACGGGUGAGUAAUGCUUAGGAAUCUGCCUAUUAGUGGGGGACAACAUCUCGAAAGGGAUGCUAAUACCGCAUACGUCCUACGGGAGAAAGCAGGGGAUCACUUGUGACCUUGCGCUAAUAGAUGAGCCUAAGUGGGAUUAGCUAGUUGGUGGGGUAAAGGCCUACCAAGGCGACGAUCUGUAGCGGGUCUGAGAGGAUGAUCCGCCACACUGGGACUGGGAAACGGCGCGGACGCCUACGGGAGGCAGCAGUGGGGAAUAUUUGACAAUGGGGGGAACCCUGAUCCAGCCAUGCCGCGUGUGUGAAGAAGGCCUUAUGGUUGUAAAACACUUUAAGCGAGGAGGAGGCUCUUUUGGUUAAUACCCAAGAUGAGUGGACGUUACUCGCAGAAUAAGCACCGGCUAACUCUGUGCCAGCCGCCGCAGUAA